Molecule: small nucleolar RNA, 125 nt
Organism: Cavia aperea (Brazilian guinea pig)
Lineage: Eukaryota; Metazoa; Chordata; Mammalia; Rodentia; Caviidae
Source: Ensembl
UCUUUUUUAUUGAAACUCUGCUGAAAAUGAAGAAACCAGGAUCGUGUCUUAGUAUUCGUAAUGUGGCUAGCAGAGUAAGCACAAGAUGGAAAACAAGGGCGGAUGUGGUGGUGCAUGCCUGUAAU